GAUGAACGCUGGCGGCGUGCCUAAUACAUGCAAGUCGAGCGAACAGACGAGGAGCUUGCUCCUCUGACGUUAGCGGCGGACGGGUGAGUAACACGUGGAUAACCUACCUAUAAGACUGGGAUAACUUCGGGAAACCGGAGCUAAUACCGGAUAAUAUAUUGAACCGCAUGGUUCAAUAGUGAAAGACGGUUUUGCUGUCACUUAUAGUUGGAUCCGCGCCGCAUUAGCUAGUUGGUAAGGUAACGGCUUACCAAGGCAACGAUGCGUAGCCGACCUGAGAGGGUGAUCGGCCACACUGGAACUGAGACACGGUCCAGACUCCUACGGGAGGCAGCAGUAGGGAAUCUUCCGCAAUGGGCGAAAGCCUGACGGAGCAACGCCGCGUGAGUGAUGAAGGUCUUCGGAUCGUAAAACUCUGUUAUUAGGGAAGAACAAAUGUGUAAGUAAUUAUGCACGUCUUGACGGUACCUAAUCAGAAAGCCACGGCUAACUACGUG
RNAcentral lists this ribosomal RNA (497 nucleotides) under uncultured bacterium. RNAcentral describes it as "partial 16S ribosomal RNA". It matches the Rfam family "Bacterial small subunit ribosomal RNA", at positions 28 to 507 of the family's 1533-position model. The record is from RNAcentral.